Molecule: non-coding RNA, 45 nt
Filed under: Schistosoma haematobium
Lineage: Eukaryota; Metazoa; Platyhelminthes; Trematoda; Strigeidida; Schistosomatidae
Source: RNAcentral
AUCUAGCUGAUGAGUACCAAAUAGGACAAAACGUACGUCUUGGAU